AAGUCGUAACAAGGUUUCCGUAGGUGAACCUGCGGAAGGAUCAUUACCGAGUUCAUGCCCUUCGGGGUAGAUCUCCCACCCUUUGUAUACUAUACCUUUGUUGCUUUGGCGGGCCGCCUAGCUACUGGCUUCGGCUGGUAAGUGCCCGCCAGAGAACCCAAAACCCUGAAUUAUUAGUGUCGUCUGAGUAAAAUAUUUAAUAUUUAAAACUUUCAACAACGGAUCUCUUGGCUCUGGCAUCGAUGAAGAACGCAGCGAAAUGCGAUAAGUAAUGUGAAUUGCAGAAUUCAGUGAAUCAUCGAAUCUUUGAACGCACAUUGCGCCCCUUGGUAUUCCGAGGGGCAUGCCUAUUCGAGCGUCAUUAUCACCCCUCAAGCCUAGCUUGGUGUUGAGACCUGCUGUCAAGGCAGUCUCUAAAAUCAGUGGCAGUGCUGUCAGGCUCUAAGCGUAGUAAAUUCAUCGCUAUAGACACCUGGUGGCCACUCGCCAGAACCCCCCCAUUUUUUAAUGAUUGACCUCGGAUUAGGUAGGGAUACCCGCUGAACUUAAGCAUAUCAAUAAGCGGAGGAAAAGAAACCAACAGGGAUUGCCUCAGUAACGGCGAGUGAAGCGGCAAAAGCUCAAAUUUGAAAUCUGGCUCUUUUAGGGUCCGAGUUGUAAUUUGUAGAAGAUGUUUCGGGUGUGGCUCCGGUUUAAGUUCUUUGGAAUAUUACAUCAUAGAGGGUGAGAAUCCCGUAUGUGACCGGCAGCCUUCGCCUAUGUGAAACUCUUUCGACGAGUCGAGUUGUUUGGGAAUGCAGCUCAAAAUGGGAGGUAUAUUUCUUCUAAAGCUAAAUAUUGGCCAGAGACCGAUAGCGCACAAGUAGAGUGAUCGAAAGAUGAAAAGCACUUUGGAAAGAGAGUUAAACAGUACGUGAAAUUGUUGAAAGGGAAGCGCUUGCAACCAGACUUGCACGCAGUUGAUCAUCCGGUGUUCUCACCGGGGCACUCUGCUGCGUUCAGGCCAGCAUCGGUUUUGGUGGUUGGAUAAAGGCCUUGGGAAUGUGGCUUCCUUCGGGGAGUGUUAUAGCCCUCGGUGCAAUGCAGCCUACCGAGACCGAGGACCGCGCUUCGGCUAGGAUGCUGGCGUAAUGGUUGUAAGCGACC
RNAcentral lists this ribosomal RNA (1146 nucleotides) under uncultured Tetracladium. RNAcentral describes it as "eukaryotic LSU rRNA". The stretch from base 513 to 1146 matches the Rfam family "Eukaryotic large subunit ribosomal RNA", at positions 1 to 649 of the family's 3401-position model. The record is from RNAcentral. Lineage: Eukaryota; Fungi; Ascomycota.